This 390-nucleotide ribosomal RNA is filed under the name uncultured bacterium. RNAcentral's name for it is "bacterial SSU rRNA". It matches the Rfam family "Bacterial small subunit ribosomal RNA", at positions 28 to 417 of the family's 1533-position model. The record is from RNAcentral.
GACGAACGCUGGCGGCGUGCUUAACACAUGCAAGUCGAGCGGUAAGGCCCUUUCGGGGGUACGACGAGCGGCGAACGGGUGAGUAACACGUGGGUGACCUGCCUUUAGCUCUGGGAUAAGCCUGGGAAACUGGGUCUAAUACCGGAUAUGACUCCAUGAUGCAUGUUGUGGGGUGGAAAGCCUUGUGCGGCUGGAGAUGGGCCCGCGGCCUAUCAGCUUGUUGGUGGGGCGANGGCCUACCAAGGCGACGACGGGUAGCCGGCCUGAGAGGGCGACCGGCCACACUGGGACUGAGGCACGGCCCAGACUCCUACGGGAGGCAGCAGUGGGGAAUCUUGCGCAAUGGGCGAAAAGCCUGACGCAGCGACGCCGCGUGAGGGAUGACGGCCU